RNAcentral lists this ribosomal RNA (248 nucleotides) under uncultured Treponema sp. RNAcentral describes it as "partial 16S ribosomal RNA". It matches the Rfam family "Bacterial small subunit ribosomal RNA", at positions 98 to 339 of the family's 1533-position model. The record is from RNAcentral. Lineage: Bacteria; Pseudomonadati; Spirochaetota; Spirochaetia; Treponematales; Treponemataceae.
GCGGACUGGUGAGGAACACGUGGGUAAUCUACCCUUAAGAUGGGGAUAGCUGCUAGAAAUAGCAGAUAAUACCGAAUACACUCAAUAUUUCAUAAGAAGUAUUGAGGAAAGGAAGCUACGGCUUCGCUUGAGGAUGAGCUUGCGUCCCAUUAGCUAGUUGGUGAGGUAAAGGCCCACCAAGGCGACGAUGGGUAUCCGGCCUGAGAGGGUGAACGGACACAUUGGGACUGAGAUACGGCCCAAACUCC